GGAUUAAUAUGUCGGUCGUGCCUUCGGUACGUACUGGUAUCAUUGGUCUCUCCUUUCUGACGAACCAUGAUGCCAUUAAUUUGGUGUUGCGGGGAAUUUGGACUGUUACUUUGAAAAAAUUAGAGUGUUUAAAGCAAGCUAACGCUUGAAUACAUUAGCGUGGAAUAAUGAAAUAGGACGUUCGAUCCUAUUUUGUUGGUUUCUAGGAUUGACGUA
RNAcentral lists this ribosomal RNA (216 nucleotides) under Campeiostachys nutans. RNAcentral describes it as "Elymus nutans partial small subunit ribosomal RNA". The stretch from base 38 to 216 matches the Rfam family "Eukaryotic small subunit ribosomal RNA", at positions 684 to 864 of the family's 1831-position model. Lineage: Eukaryota; Viridiplantae; Streptophyta; Magnoliopsida; Poales; Poaceae. The record is from RNAcentral.